CGUAGAUGUGCUAUGGACGCCCCUUGGUGGUGAGCCGGUGUCGUCGUCUUGACCCUCUGGCGGUAGUUUGCUAGAAGAAACCCCCUCCACACACUUUGUGCUUCUCGAAUAAAUGCUAUGGAUUCUUCAAGAGGCGUGUAACCAUAAUCAAUUCCCUAAAGUUAGACAGCUGACCCCCAAUGGCUUCAUUUCACCAAGGUCAAGGACAAUUUGAGGGGAGUCCAACCAGUCCUGGUCCACAAGUGCUCGGGUGAGGCUGCUGGUCCUGUACUACAGCAGAGAGAGCGAGAGGAGGGACGUCAGCUGGCACCGCUCUGCAACCCCCCCCCAGCUGAUGCUGCAUUACCUCGACAACCGGCUCCGGGGUCACUGCCAGCUCUCUGCCCAGCACCCGGCCAGCCCCCCCGCCGACCUGAACCGGACCCGCCCCAAACCUGCACGGCCCCGCCCACAACUGGCAACCUGCAGGAGUCAUCAGGGCUGCGACAGAAAAGCCUAGUGAAGCCCGUAAACUCACCUCAUAAAGAUUUAUUUCCUGAGAUGGAGCGAUGAUUAGAAGAGAGAGAGGGAGCGAGAGAGAGAGGAGGGAAAGAUGACUCCACCACCCUGGGGGGAGGACGAGGUGAGAUGGAACCACUUCUCCGCUCAC
This is a long non-coding RNA of Gasterosteus aculeatus aculeatus (three-spined stickleback), 649 nucleotides long. The record is from Ensembl. NCBI's taxonomy places the organism in Eukaryota, Metazoa, Chordata, Actinopteri, Perciformes, Gasterosteidae.